RNAcentral lists this ribosomal RNA (441 nucleotides) under uncultured bacterium. RNAcentral's name for it is "partial 16S ribosomal RNA". It matches the Rfam family "Bacterial small subunit ribosomal RNA", at positions 338 to 795 of the family's 1533-position model. The record is from RNAcentral.
CCUACGGGAGGCAGCAGUGGGGGAUAUUGCACAAUGGGGGGAACCCUGAUGCAGCGACGCCGCGUGGGUGAAGGAGUGCUUCGGCAUGUAAAGCCCUAUCGGCAGGGAAGAAGCAAGACGGUACCUGACUAAGAAGCCCCGGCUAACUACGUGCCAGCAGCCGCGGUAAUACGUAGGGGGGGAGCGUUAUCCGGAUUCACGGGGUGGAAAGGGAGCGUAGACGGCCAUGCAAGCCAGGGGUGAAAGCCCGGGGCCCAACCCCGGGACUGCCCUUGGAACUGCAUGGCUGGAGUGCGGGAGGGGCAGGCGGAAUUCCUGGUGUAGCGGUGAAAUGCGUAGAUAUCAGGAGGAACACCGGCGGCGAAGGCGGCCUGCUGGACCGCGACUGACGUUGAGGCUCGAAAGCGUGGGGAGCGAACAGGAUUAGAUACCCGUGUAGUC